GUGAAAAUCUUCCCAAAUUUGGGCUAGGUAGAAGCCUUUGGAAAACAAGACCAUAUGUUAAGACGCAUGUAGGAACUUCGGCGACUUGGUGGUGAUAAUUUUGUCCUCGGGGAGCCCCCUUGCCCUUUCCUGUGUCAGUGCCUGGACCUGGGGUCUCCACCCCGACACUUCCAGCCCCGGGGUCCCCACAGAGUCAGGGUAGAGCCCACAGACCCACCUCUGCUCAUGGGGAUUGCUCUCAGGAAAAAGCUCUGUACGAGCCGCAUGCAUUCACCUUGGGUAUGCGAGCAUGGAAGCGAAAUAACCCAAGUUACACGUUUUUGCCACGCACACAGCUGUGGGGAGGGAAGGUCUCGUUCCCAAGAUCUGCCUGCAUAACCACGAUGAGGAAGAGGAUGUUUUGCUUCACAGUAGCUUACUCAUUUGCCUACAGUUUAAUUAAGCCCCUGAGAAGUCGUUGGCUGACACUGCUUUCUGGCCGGACAGUGAAUAAAUUUCCUAGCUGGAGGGAAACUUCUUCCUGCGAUGGGGGACAGGAUGUCUUCGUGAGACAUUUUACCAAUGGAUUUACUGCAAUGGAGAGAUUCGGGAAUGAACAUUGUAUUCGAGAGCGUAUCUCAUAUCUGUGCUGCUUGAAGCUGUCAAGACACAGCAGCUUUUCUGUGGAGAACGAAGCCAAAGGUCAGCUCGCCUAA
This 695-nucleotide long non-coding RNA is filed under the name Anas platyrhynchos platyrhynchos (common mallard). RNAcentral's name for it is "lncRNA (ENSAPLG00000023026.1)". Lineage: Eukaryota; Metazoa; Chordata; Aves; Anseriformes; Anatidae. The record is from RNAcentral.